CAAGAGGCCCAUGGUGACUCUGGACGAGCUGCAGAGAUCUACAGCUCAGAGCAGCAUCAGCUGCAGAGACGACGGUGGCGGAUUAACUGUUGGUUUGGUUCCUGAAAGCGAGCCCUCGAAUGCUGCGGAGCUGCUGUAACAAACUGUAGUGACAGAGUUUGCUGCGGGUCUGAUGCUGAAUGAAACUUCCCCAAAGAAAAGCCUCCUGCAGCACACUCCACUGUCACAACAAUCGCUCUAUUACUUCAUACAUGGAGAAUGUCUCCUGUCAGCCUGCAACUCCACACACCAACAUUAAGAAGUGCUGAAACCUCGGAGAAGCUGAGACAUUCGUCUCUUGAGAUCUAAUAAUGCCGCAGCAGAAGCAUCAGUGCUACAGGACACCAGCAGCAUGUCUGACGUCGUGGGAGGAAUGUGGGAGGAUGUUUGGAGCACUUUCUGGGAGUCUGUGCAAAUGUGAGCAGAGCGACCUCCAAAUCCACCGGACCAGCAGCAGCCAGUUCCAUCCCAAAACUGUUGAAAACUCAACUUCGAUCUGAUCCAACUGCACCAGUGUGAGGUAAACAUCCUCUAUACCCUGCUGCGUUUUGGAAUCUGGGAUAUGAGUGCACAAAAAAACAAAACACAAAAAAAAACAAGCACUGCUAGCCGGAGACGCUUUGUUUGAAAGAUUUAUGCACCAGGACCUCCUGCUUGCAUUCGUUCAUAUCAAUUCAGAUAUCUAAAAGAUGAGCGUGGCACCUGGACCGCUGUGUGAAAUGAAAUCAAACCAAGUGGAAACCAAGGUAACUAACUGCUGAAGCACAGGUGCACAAAAUGCUGUUUAUACCAGAAUUAAAAAGCUCAGUGGACAAAAAACAGAGUUAAAAAUGUGGUAAAAUACCCCAAAACACCAACAAAGAGUCACCCUCUGGCCCGCCUCAGAGCGCCAUCAGUCUGUGAACUUACAGGCGUAGGUCAUGGCGA
Molecule: long non-coding RNA, 966 nt
Organism: Oreochromis aureus
Lineage: Eukaryota; Metazoa; Chordata; Actinopteri; Cichliformes; Cichlidae
Exons: 3
Source: RefSeq, a predicted model, not a curated record